AAAGACAACGCAACCCGAUGAAUCAAACAAGAAUAAGGCAACCCGAUCCGACCCCCAGGAGUACGAAAGGAAGCCAGAAUAUUCUGGCACACAAAACUAGGAAAGUCGAUCGAGUCCCCAUGAAGAAGGGCAUACAGAAAACGGGCACGCACCAUAGGUAGAGAAGAGGUAUGGGCAACAGGCCACAGGUUUGUGCACACUAUGCGCAACAAGACCUGACGAUCAGUAGGCAAUGACCCCAUGGCCAUCGCCGUA
This 255-nucleotide long non-coding RNA is filed under the name Olea europaea (common olive). RNAcentral describes it as "long non-coding RNA (OEUR_LNC011627)". Lineage: Eukaryota; Viridiplantae; Streptophyta; Magnoliopsida; Lamiales; Oleaceae. The record is from RNAcentral.